UGAAAUUGUGAUGUCCUUUUAAUUUUCUGUUAUGAUUAGUGCUUUAUACCAACUGUUAAUCAAGCUUGUUAAACAUGAUUAGGCAAAAUGCAAUGGAUUAGUGAAAUGAUCAUGUUAUGUAACUUGGCCAAAAUGCCCUCAUGCUUAUGUGACCAAUGGAACAGUGUAAAUUCACCUUGCAGCAAGUCCAAAACUCUGUUUUAAGGCCAAUGCAAUUGGUUUGGAAUGAAA
Molecule: long non-coding RNA, 231 nt
Filed under: Lathyrus oleraceus (garden pea)
Lineage: Eukaryota; Viridiplantae; Streptophyta; Magnoliopsida; Fabales; Fabaceae
Description: Pisum sativum (pea) long non-coding RNA (PSAT_LNC026354)
Source: RNAcentral